Molecule: ribosomal RNA, 465 nt
Filed under: uncultured bacterium
Lineage: Bacteria
Description: partial 16S ribosomal RNA
Rfam family: Bacterial small subunit ribosomal RNA
Source: RNAcentral
GACGAACGCUGGCGGCGUGCUUAACACAUGCAAGUCGAGCGGUAAGGCCCCUUCGGGGGUACACGAGCGGCGAACGGGUGAGUAACACGUGAGCAAUCUGCCCAUCACAUCGGGAUAACUCCGGGAAACCGAAGCUAAUACCGAAUACGACCACCUCCGGCAUCGGAUGGUGGUGGAAAGUUCUGGCGGUGAUGGAUGAGCUCGCGGCCUAUCAGCUUGUUGGUGGGGUAACGGCCCACCAAGGCUUCGACGGGUAGCCGGCCUGAGAGGGUGACCGGCCACACUGGGACUGAGACACGGCCCAGACUCCUACGGGAGGCAGCAGUGGGGAAUAUUGGACAAUGGGCGAAAGCCUGAUCCAGCAACGCCGCGUGAGGGAUGACGGCCUUCGGGUUGUAAACCUCUUUCAGCAGGGACGAAGCGCAAGUGACGGUACCUGCAGAAGAAGCACCGGCCAACUACGUG